Ochotona princeps (American pika) is the source of this 106-nucleotide small nuclear RNA. NCBI's taxonomy places the organism in Eukaryota, Metazoa, Chordata, Mammalia, Lagomorpha, Ochotonidae. The record is from RefSeq and is a predicted model, not a curated record.
UCACUUUGGCAGUGUGUAUAGUAUAAUUGGAUUAAUAAAGAGAAGAUUAGCAUGGUCUGUGCACAAGAAGGAUGAUACACAAAUUCGUGAAGCAUUCCAUAUUAAA